AGUGAACGCUGGCGGUAGGCCUAACACAUGCAAGUCGAACGGCAGCACAGUAAGAGCUUGCUCUUACGGGUGGCGAGUGGCGGACGGGUGAGGAAUACAUCGGAAUCUACUUUUUCGUGGGGGAUAACGUAGGGAAACUUACGCUAAUACCGCAUACGCCCUACGGGUGAAAGCAGGGGUUCUUCGGACCUUGCGCGAUUGAUUGAGCCGAUGUCGGAUUAGCUAGUUGGCGGGGUAAAGGCCCACCAAGGCGACGAUCCGUAGCUGGUCUGAGAGGAUGAUCAGCCACACUGGAACUGAGACACGGUCCAGACUCCUACGGGAGGCAGCAGUGGGGAAUAUUGGACAAUGGGCGCAAGCCUGAUCCAGCCAUACCGCGUGGGUGAAGAAGGCCUUCGGGUUGUAAAGCCCUUUUGUUGGGAAAGAAAAGCAGCAGGUUAAUACCCCGCUGUUCUGACGGUACCCAAAGAAUAAGCACCGGCUAACUUCGUG
This 492-nucleotide ribosomal RNA is filed under the name uncultured bacterium. RNAcentral describes it as "partial 16S ribosomal RNA". It matches the Rfam family "Bacterial small subunit ribosomal RNA", at positions 29 to 507 of the family's 1533-position model. The record is from RNAcentral.